CUAAAACAUGGCGAACUUUUCUAACGAAUCCCAAUCGAUCGUCUGGCAGACGUUAUGAAAGGAGAGUAUUAGAGAGUAUUGGACAAAGUAUCUCUGUCCAAAAACGUGAAGGAGAACUCUAAGUGAUCGAUAGAGAGGAAAGCAAUCUUCAGCUGCUCGUUCAUUUUCUUCAAACGUUCACUUUAGUAUGGCGGCCGUUUCUUUGUCGAAUUGCUGGACACUAAAUUUAUAUGAAUGCUACUCCCAGUUCUAGGGAGCCAAUGAAAAUCAAGGAACAGCAGCUUGACCUUUACAUUGAGAGAAUAAUAGAAGCAGCUGCAUCAAGCUUGGGGGACGUUGUUGUAAGGGUAUCAAGUAGCACUAAACAGUCAGAGAGAGAUUUUGGUAAUAGUAGUGCAUCAUCUUGAAAUGUGUGUGGAAACUUGACAUCAUCCUAUAUUGAAGUGACACCAAGUGAGUUAGUCUUACUGCAGUCUGUGAGCCUGAGGGAGGAACUCCAGUCCAUGCCCCCAGUCAAGAAGUCUUUGAGCCUGGAGGAGGAACUCCAAUUCCAGCUCAGAAAUAUGAGGCCUCCCCAGCAAUCGAUGCCCCCAGUCAAGAAGUGCCUGUUCAGGAAAGCUCUGACCCCCCUGUUGAUCACCUGAGCCUGGUAUUUGAAAUCCUGAUUGUUCAAAUGGCCACGAAAGUCUUCAGCGGUUAGGCCAACAACAGGGGACAUUGAGAAAGGUAAAUUGUAAUACUCACAGGUUGAAGUACAUCGCAUUGCUUUGGAGCAAUCUCAUCUUACUUGUGAUGAAUAUGAUGUCAGCUCUUUCUUCACAAAAAGUGAAUGUAGAAGAGUACAUCAAGAAAAAUCUUGUCACUGACAAAUUCACAGUUGUUAUCCAUGGAGAGGAUGAUGGUGCAAACCUUUGUUUGAUUCAAUUGGUAAAAAAAUUCUACAAACUAUUAAAGAAUAGGUUCUUUGAAGGAUUGAACUUUUGCAUCAUUUUAAAGGCCAAAUUCACCCUGAAAGCUGUUUUCAAGCUUGCCAAACCAUUCAUCCUGAACAAUGUGAAGUGAAAGAUUUCUAUGGUAAAUGAUGUUGGUGAACUUGUUUUGUUCCACAGAAGCACUGAAAGCAAGAGCACUGAAGAUGCAUGGUAGGGGAUCUUUGAGGAUUUUCAAAUUGUAGGGGCUUUUUUAGGAUUUUCAAAUUUAAUAGUAUCUUCAAGAGAAUAAGUCAUGACUAAGUUUUAGUCCUUUUAACAUGGAGGAGUGCAUAAUGUUACUGCCAUCAAGAUCAAUUGUGUCUCCUAGUGUUACAUCAAAAACUGGCUGCAAAGAACAUUGCAUGCUUUUUUUUUGCAGAGAUCCUUGAGGAUCUCCUUAUGAAGAGAAGCAUAACAACAGCUCUCUCUGUAGUAUUCAUCAUUUUAUUUAGUACUGAAUAUGACAGCAACCAAUGACUGUGCAUCAUGCAGACUGUUACAUAGCUAAUCAUUAUAACAAGCUGGGCAUAUUUUUUUUCAUUUUUGUAAACUGAAAUAUAUAUUUACUUAUUAUUUGUAAAAAAAGAGGUGAUUAUCACCAAAGCAGACUGUUAAACAUGCUUACAGCCAGAGUUACGGAUAAGAACUUUCAUAAGAAGUUGGGCAUAUAUAUCUCUCAAUUUUUGUAAACGUAACAUAAUCAUAAAGGGUCCAAUUAAAAUGCAAGAUAAUUACUUCAAAUUUUGCCAGACUUCUUUCAAAGAUGUAUAUUCUCUGACCUUGAGGAAAUCUUUAUAUCCCUGACUUUUCCCAGAACUUGCAGCAACCAUGAACCAUGCUUCUGGUAUAAAACUAUUGGUGGAAUUAGUUCCCACCAACCCCAAGUAUUUCCCUGUGUUAUUCCCUGUAUGUACACACAAGAACAUGUGAAACACCUUCUGCAGUCGCCAUCAAAUAAAACCAGCAGUGUUUUCAAAUCAAAUGUGCACCAGGGAAAUCCAAAAUGGUGGACGAAGUUUAAGAAGAAGAUCUGCAAAAUAAGGCGUUUCGGUGUCAUUAGCCUCUGAUAUCCAUCGUGUUUUAUUUUGUUUGUGUCUCCAAGAUGAAGACAAGAUUUACCACCGUUGAUCCUUGCGCAGUGAUCACAGAGCUGUUUCAUUCACUAGUUUGUCAAAUCUUUUUAGCUUUAAGACAAAAAUGCAAGAGUUUUUACUUAAAUAAACACUGUAUUGGCAAAGCUGCACAUUCACAGCACUUAUUAUUUUUUAAAUACUGUUGUAAGUAAGGUGGCUCUACUCCAUAAGCCCAGUGGCUUCCUGAUAUGCUUGACGAAUGAGGAAAGUUUUCUUACAGGUUUGAGUGAAGGUAAGUCCUGAUCCUUACUUCUUUUUAAAACAGCUAGAUAGUGACUAAACAUAUCUGACACCACUUGACCUUGCUCAUCGAGCUUAGGGAACUAAAAUACUCAUGCUGAAAUUUUGCUUUGCAUUCCACUUUGAGCUCUUAAUUCAUCCAGCUCAAAAUAAUAUUCUCAUCAUAAUUAAUGGAAAGUAAUGGCAUAGCAGUUAAGAGCUGGAUUCAAAUGUACAUCAAGUUGGACUCAACUUCUUAAUUAAAGUCAA
This is a non-coding RNA of Pocillopora verrucosa, 2593 nucleotides long. NCBI's taxonomy places the organism in Eukaryota, Metazoa, Cnidaria, Anthozoa, Scleractinia, Pocilloporidae. The record is from RefSeq and is a predicted model, not a curated record.